CAUUGAAAUUUUAAUUAUUGAAAUAUGUCCCAGCCAACAUUGAGUAAAUGUUUGCAUGAUGUUACAAAUACAACUUAACACAUUAACACCCAAGUAAUACUUUAUAAGUAUAUCAAAUUCCAUAUGACCCAAAGAGAAAUCGUAAUACCAGACUUUAGUGUAAAAUUUGGUUUUUCUUGAGUCCUUGGCUGCAUUGAUGGAACUCUACUAGAAAUAUUGCAAUAAUCAAACCCACUAACCAUGAAGAAACAAUUCUUAAUAGGAAAUAUUUUCAUUCAUUGAAUGUAUUAAUAUUAUGUGAUUCCAAAUUAAACAUAAUGUAUGUGGAUGCAGCAUGCGCAACGGCCCUGGAUGAUGACACCAAUAUUAGGAGCAGGGCCUGGGACACCUGAAGAAUACUAUUGCAACCUUCAUUGCUGUGUCAGGAAUACUGUUGAACAGUGUAUGGGGGUAUUAAAAGCAUGUUGGUAUUGUUUGUUGGCCCAUAGAGUUUUUCAUUAUGAUCCAGUUACUAAUGGCAAAUUAGUGAAUGCAUGUGUUGUCCUGCACAAUAUUGCAAAUAUGCAGAAUGCCAAAAUACCCGAAAUAUAGGCUUCUGAUGCUGGAAGUGAAAAUAUGUCUCAGGAUUUAGGAGAGGAUGCCAUAGUUGAGGUUAUAUAAGAUCUUACCAGAGAACAAUUGGUGCAGACUGGAAUUCGAGAUGAUAUGUUAAAUAUUUAUUGAGUUAAAAAUGUAUUGAGUGUAUGUUUUAAGUGAAAAUUAUUUAUACUUGUAUUUGUGAUUAAACAUAUUGUCUUACUAAGAUAUUGUAAGUUUUAUUCGAAUAUGACAAUAUUUCUUGUAUAAGUUUUAAAUUAUAUUAUAUAAUAUUAUACAUUGUUCAUGCUUUGAUUCAAAUGUGAUGUAGUUGUGUACGUAAUUAAAGAAAACAUUUUUAUAUC
Long non-coding RNA from Zerene cesonia (dogface butterfly), 941 nucleotides. RefSeq lists it as uncharacterized. NCBI's taxonomy places the organism in Eukaryota, Metazoa, Arthropoda, Insecta, Lepidoptera, Pieridae. The record is from RefSeq and is a predicted model, not a curated record. The transcript is spliced from 3 exons.